Sorghum bicolor (sorghum) is the source of this 1859-nucleotide RNA transcript. It is a transcript of the gene named O-methyltransferase ZRP4, with no coding region annotated. The transcript has 3 exons. NCBI's taxonomy places the organism in Eukaryota, Viridiplantae, Streptophyta, Magnoliopsida, Poales, Poaceae. The record is from RefSeq and is a predicted model, not a curated record.
AACAAUUGGAGCAGAUCAACACUACUAGCUCUAGCUCUGCGCCAUGGCGCCCGUCAAGGCGCAAGACGCGAGCACUGACCAGCAGACUAUGCUUGAUGCUCAGCUCCAGCUCUGGCACCACACCUUCGGCUACAUCAAAUCCAUGGCGCUCAAGGCCGCGCUAGACCUCCGCAUCCCCGACGCCAUCCACCAGCAUGGCGGCUCAGCCACCCUCCCACAGAUAGCCACCAAGGCCACGCUCCACCCGUCCAAGAUACCAUGCCUGCGCCGCCUCAUGCGCGUGCUCACUCUGACCGGCGUCUUCCAGCACUCGACGACGACCGACGACGACGGCGGCGAGCUUGUCUACGAGCUCACGCCGGCGUCUCGUCUCCUGGUCGGCUCGGUGACGACGAACGUGAGUCCGUUUCUGAACAUGGUGCUCGGCACCGUCUUCGUGUCUUCCUUCCUCGACCUCGGCGAGUGGUUCCAGCACGAGCUGCCGGACCCGUCCCCGUUCAAGUUGACGCACGGACGGCACGUGUGGGACCUGGCCAUCCACGACGCGAGCUUCGCCAAGCUCUGUGACAAUGGGAUGGUCGCGGACAGCGGGUUCAUCAUGGACGUCAUGGUCAAGGAGUGCGGCGACGUUUUCCAAGGGAUUAGUGGAUCCUUGGUCGACGUCGCCGGCGGGCUCGGCGGCGCUACCCAGGCCAUCGCAAAGGCGUUCCCGCACAUCGAAUGUAGUGUGCUCGAUCUCCCAAACGUUGUCGCCGUUGCUCCGACUGACACCGACGUGAAGUACAUCGCCGGCGACAUGUUUGAGAGCGUUCCAUCGGCAAAUGUUGUCUUCCUCAAGUGGGUUCUGCAUGAUUGGGGUGACGCUGAAUGUGUCAAGAUAUUGAAGAACUGCAAGAAGGCUAUACCAUCUGAAGGAGGGAAGGUGAUAAUAAUGGAUAUCGUGGUUGGAGCAGGGUCAUCCGACCAGAAGAAUGUAGAGACGCAAGUCUUGUUUGAUCUCUUUAUCAUGACUAUCAAUGGAGCCGAACGAGAUGAGAAAGAGUGGAAGAAGAUCAUUUUUGAAGCCGGAUUUAGGUCUUACAAGAUAAUGCCUGUUCUGGGUGUCCGAUCGAUCAUCGAGGUCUACCCAUAGAAUUGAAGUUUACGCAUAGGACAAUGGACAAGUGCUGUUGUGGGCGGCCGUGUUGCAGGUUGCAGCGCACAGGUUGACAGCAAAGAAAGGUUGUUCAAACUUGAAAGCGUCCAGCCACACAGUUAUUUGCAUCACGUGCUGAUGCAUUAUAGUCGUUGAUGUUAAACCAUGAAUUAUUAUAGAAAGUGCUGAACAGAGGGAUUUAAGUGUUAAUCGGUCACGAAACUUAGCCGCGACGAAAGGAUGACACCGGAGAAUUCAGGAACAUUCAAGAAGACACCCGACGCGAGGGGGGAGCCAGCCGCCAACAGGUGGGGUCGGCCGGCCCCACCCUAGCGCCGGCUGGCCCCCUAGGGUUAGGGUUUGCUCCCCCCUUCUGGAAGCUUCCUCCACCGCCUCUGCGGAGCCAUCUCGACCGCUUGUUAAGUCGGUUUGAUCCAACGACGCGCGUUCACCCCACCAGACUAUAAAUAGAAGGCAAGACCCCCCUAGAGGAGGCCAGAUCAAGAGAUGAAGAGUCAAAGCAUUAGAUAGAGAUCCACUAGAUCUAGGCUAGCAAUCAAGAUAGAGAUUAGAGAGAGAUAGAGUAGAGGAGUAGAGAUUCGGAGGAGUCCCGGCCUGUCAGAGCUUCCUCAGGAGCUGUAUCGAGAUUCGGCUCCCUCGCCCGGAACCGCGUUCUGAGGUACUUUUGUAUUUACCCUUCUGAUUCAAGUAAGCAACUUGUUUG